UCUUUGACUCAGUGCAUGCUACUAUGUGAUACGUUUUCAAAGAGUCGAGUUGUUUGGGAAUGCAGCUCAAAAUGGGUGGUAAAUUUCAUCUAAAGCUAAAUAUUGGCGAGAGACCGAUAGCGAACAAGUACCGUGAGGGAAAGAUGAAAAGAACUUUGAAAAGAGAGUUAAACAGUGCGUGAAAUUGUUGAAAGGGAAACGUUUGACACCAGUUAUGCGGGUGGAAAAUCAGUCUUUUGCAAUGGGGAGUUGUGGGCGUUCAGACCGCAAGGCUGGCGUUUGCUUCAUCUUUGUUGUAAGUGAUGCACUUUUUCAUUUGCAGGUCAACAUCAGUUUGCUUUGCUGGACAAAACCCCAAGGGAAGGUGGCAGCUUAGGCUGUGUUAUAGCCCUGGGGCGAUACAGUGGAGUGGACUGAGGUUUCGCAGUGUGUGCUCUCGGGCAAGGCUGACUGGGUGCUAUGGGAUCGUUCGGCGUACAAUGCAUGCAUUUUGCGUCGUGUCUUUUUCAUACUCGCUCAACUCGGCUCUUCCA
RNAcentral lists this ribosomal RNA (533 nucleotides) under uncultured Mortierella. RNAcentral describes it as "LSU rRNA". It matches the Rfam family "Eukaryotic large subunit ribosomal RNA", at positions 221 to 611 of the family's 3401-position model. Lineage: Eukaryota; Fungi; Mortierellomycota; Mortierellomycetes; Mortierellales; Mortierellaceae. The record is from RNAcentral.